CUUGAGAAACAAUUUCAUAGAAAGACAUAAAUCCUUUGAACAUGUCAAUUACAUUGGUUGAACUAAAUAAAACAAUGGACAUUGCAGGAACAAUAUUUCUGAUAAUUAAACUGUGUAUACUAUAGACAAACAUAAAUUUGUUGCCCUACACGGUUGGUUAAUAGGAGCUAUGUAUCAUUCUACACCUCUAAUUCAAACUGCUUUGCUCUUAAGAUCUUCAGCUGCACAACAAAAAAUUCUUAAGAAGCUUUAGAAAUUGGUUCCUUCUCUAUUUAUCAUGCCUAUAUGGACAAAGUUUGGGUUUGUAAGGAGUUGGAUUCUCGGGUAAAUGCUGCAAUCAACUUGUCCUUGGUAAGCUGUUCAGAUCCUUCUGACUUAAUUACAAAAUUAUGGUAGAUAGUAUCAUUUGCAGCAGCAAGUUUCGACUCUACAACACUGAUUUGUGCCUCUUUGAAUGUUUCGAUUACUUUCGAAACAGGAUGAGUAUCAAGAGAACAGCUCACCUUUACGAUUACCUCAUCUUGAGAAGCUUGAAUAUCCACAUCCGGAGGAGGAACUCUAGUAUUCUGAUGACGAUUUUCUGAUCUCGAGUUGGCCAAUCCAUCCCUGGAAGUACUGCUUCCAAAUGAUUCUCUCUCUGACUCCAUGAUCUUGAGUUUUGCUUGAAGCUCGUUGAUGUAAGCAAUAGCAUCACCAAGUAAAGAUGCCUUGUCCAUCUUGGAAAUAUUCGGUACAACAGCUCUUAAGGCAUAAAACCGCUGAUUAAGCUUCUCGCGCCUUUGCCUCUCUGCCUCCACAUGGUUUAGAGGUUCGUCCCUUCCAUUAGCAGGCUUCCUUCCGCGCUUCCUAGGUCUCCUUUCAUCACUAGGUUGAUCAGCCUCAACAUCAGCAACAAGUUCCGAUUCAGCAAUAACCGGUCUCACAGAAUUAGCCCUUGAAUUUGCUCCCGAAAAGUCAAUUUGCAUUGGCAUCUGCCUUUGUGGUUGGUAGUUGCUAUUAUUGUUGUUGAGCCUAAAAUCCUUUCUAACACCAUUAGAAGCAAAAAUUUCACCUUGACCUUGAUUCACUCCCCAACUAGAACCACAAAUACCAUUUCUAGCACUAGGAAAGUUAAUGCUAUUAUUAUUAUUAACAUUAUUACUAUCCAUUUUCCUAAUGGCAAGUUUCUCCCUAAAAUGUGUACGACCAUUGUUCAAAUUCAAAACAAGUUUUGGAAUUGAAACUGAACUUUCUUCAUUGACCACCUUAGGAUACAAUGGUUUUGAAAUUGAAAACAGUGAUUUGAUUUUGUUUAACAAAUCAAAGAUUUCAGGUAACAAUCUAACAGAACCCAACUCAACAACACCAAAAUCAGUAGGUACUAAAACAACAGUUUGAAUACCAGCAGAUUUAGCCAAGAAAGAACGAAAGCAGUAAUCAGAAACAGAUUUGAACCACAAAUGUUUACCAGAAGCGAAACACUUACCGGGUCCACCAUACCCUUUCGGGAAAAAGAAGUACAUAGAAGCUAAAAAGAACAUCUCUGUGUCGGUUACACGGUCAAGGCCAAAAGCGUAAUUGUCUUCAUCUGAACCACCAAAAGCUUUAUGCAACUUCUGCAAAACCCACUUCUUCAUACUUUGUUUCAUUCCUUCUUCUUCUUCUUCUUCUUCUUUUUUUUCUUCCUCUAUGCGAAGACUCAUAGUUUCUCUAACUCCACCACCACCACCUUCUUCUUCGUUUGGUUCUCUGCAACACCCAUCUGCCCAGCAAAGAACGUAAUCACCAGAUUUUGACUUAGAAAGUCGCCAAUAAAUCGCGUAAUUCCAAUUGAAAUUGGAUGAAGAAUUUUCAACAAGAUCAGAGAGUUUGUUUUGAAGAGAAUCAACACUUUCACCAACAGCAAUCAAUCCACUCUCAUUUGAUAAACAGUUAUUUAUCAAAAAAUCCAAAGCUCUAGCACCAAGAACAGCUUCAACCAUUGUUUUCUCUUCUUCAUUCCAUAUCAUGCGCCUUAUUGAUCCCAUCUCAAAAACAAAUCAAAUUAUGAAGAAACCAGAAAGAAAGAAAAAAAGAAACAUGGAAGGGUUAAGGUGGUAAAAGGGGAACAAGAGAGGAGAAGAAAGGAAUGGUGAGUGAUGAAAUAGACAUUGAGAGUGAGGGGAGAUUAAGUUAACAAAAGGGGGUGUAUUGAAGAAGGAGAAACACGAGUAAAAGAAGGGAGGGGGGUGCGUGAGUGAAACAAGAGAAUUCUGUGUUGUGUAGGGUGGUAGGGUAAGUAGAGAGAGAAAUGGCUUUGCUUUGAGGGUUACGGUGUCAAAUUCUGCACAAAAGUGCAAAGUGAAAACCUUAAACCAUGGUUAGGUUAGGUCAACAUAGGACUACACAAGAGCUUCAUCUGAUUUCAAGUUUUAGUCGGCGUGUUUGUUUCUUUUCUCUGUUUUUAUUUAAUUUUACUACUUACUAAGCAAAAUUGAUUUUUUAAAAACGUAUAAUUUUAUUUAUACAAUUUUUAAAAAUGGAGGGAGUGCAUAUUAUAAGCAAAAAUCAAUGUUUUAAAUUUAUUUAUUAUAUACGGUUUAUAAUAGUGAUCGAAUGAUGUACGGUUAGAGGUUUAUGCCCUCGACCUUUAAGUAUUUGGUUUAAGGCUCAGUAACUUGAAAAAUAAAAACAAAU
Molecule: long non-coding RNA, 2655 nt
Filed under: Medicago truncatula (barrel medic)
Lineage: Eukaryota; Viridiplantae; Streptophyta; Magnoliopsida; Fabales; Fabaceae
Description: lncRNA gene44405
Source: RNAcentral